RNAcentral lists this ribosomal RNA (578 nucleotides) under Ureibacillus thermosphaericus. RNAcentral describes it as "bacterial SSU rRNA". It matches the Rfam family "Bacterial small subunit ribosomal RNA", at positions 54 to 612 of the family's 1533-position model. The record is from RNAcentral. Lineage: Bacteria; Bacillati; Bacillota; Bacilli; Caryophanales; Caryophanaceae.
CAUGCAAGUCGAGCGGACCAAUUAGAAAGCUUGCUUUUUAAUUGGUUAGCGGCGGACGGGUGAGUAACACGUGGGUAACCUGCCCUAUAGACCGGGAUAACUCGCGGAAACGCGUGCUAAUACCGGAUAACACACCGAAGCGCAUGCUUCGGGGUUGAAAGAUGGUUCUGCUAUCACUAUAGGAUGGGCCCGCGGCGCAUUAGCUAGUUGGUGGGGUAACGGCCUACCAAGGCGACGAUGCGUAGCCGACCUGAGAGGGUGAUCGGCCACACUGGGACUGAGACACGGCCCAGACUCCUACGGGAGGCAGCAGUAGGGAAUCUUCCACAAUGGGCGAAAGCCUGAUGGAGCAACGCCGCGUGAGCGAAGAAGGUCUUCGGAUCGUAAAGCUCUGUUGUAAGGGAAGAACAAGCGCAGCAGUCACUGGCUGCGCCCUGACGGUACCUUACUAGAAAGCCACGGCUAACUACGUGCCAGCAGCCGCGGUAAUACGUAGGUGGCAAGCGUUGUCCGGAAUUAUUGGGCGUAAAGCGCGCGCAGGCGGUCUCUUAAGUCUGAUGUGAAAGCCCCCGGCUCAA